RNAcentral lists this ribosomal RNA (180 nucleotides) under uncultured Glomeromycotina. RNAcentral's name for it is "partial small subunit ribosomal RNA". The stretch from base 91 to 180 matches the Rfam family "Eukaryotic small subunit ribosomal RNA", at positions 736 to 827 of the family's 1831-position model. Lineage: Eukaryota; Fungi; Glomeromycota. The record is from RNAcentral.
GGCCUGGUUGGGUGGUCUUGCCGCAAGGUAAGCACUGCUCCGAUCGGGUCUUUCCUUCUGGGGAACCAGUGUGCUCUUAACUGAGUGCGCUGGGGAGCCAGGACUUUUACUUUGAAAAAAUUAGAGUGUUCAAAGCAGGCUUCACGCUUGAAUACAUUAGCAUGGAAUAAUGAAAUAGGA